RNAcentral lists this ribosomal RNA (444 nucleotides) under uncultured bacterium. RNAcentral describes it as "SSU rRNA". It matches the Rfam family "Bacterial small subunit ribosomal RNA", at positions 26 to 518 of the family's 1533-position model. The record is from RNAcentral.
AGAGCGAACGCUGGCGGCAGGCCUAAUACAUGCAAGUCGAGCGCCCCUUCGGGGGAGCGGCGGACGGGUGAGUAACGCGUGGGAACGUGCCCUUUGGUACGGAACAACUGAGGGAAACUUCAGCUAAUACCGUAUGUGCCCUUCGGGGGAAAGAUUUAUCGCCAUUGGAGCGGCCCGCGUUGGAUUAGGUAGUUGGUGAGGUAAAGGCUCACCAAGCCUACGAUCCAUAGCUGGUCUGAGAGGAUGAUCAGCCACACUGGGACUGAGACACGGCCCAGACUCCUACGGGAGGCAGCAGUAGGGAAUCUUGCGCAAUGGGCGAAAGCCUGACGCAGCCAUGCCGCGUGAAUGAUGAAGGUCUUAGGAUUGUAAAAUUCUUUCACCGGGGAAGAUAAUGACGGUACCCGGAGAAGAAGCCCCGGCUAACUUCGUGCCAGCAGCCGC